UACGGAGGGUGCAAGCGUUAUCCGGAUUCACUGGGUUUAAAGGGUGCGUAGGUGGGCAGGUAAGUCAGUGGUGAAAUCUCCGGGCUUAACUCGGAAACUGCCAUUGAUACUAUCUUUCUUGAAUACCGUGGAGGUCAGCGGAAUAUGUCAUGUAGCGGUGAAAUGCUUAGAUAUGACAUAGAACACCAAUUGCGAAGGCAGCUUACUAAGGAGUAACUGACGCUGAGGCACGAAAGUGUGGGGAUCAAACAGG
RNAcentral lists this ribosomal RNA (253 nucleotides) under uncultured bacterium. RNAcentral describes it as "partial 16S ribosomal RNA". It matches the Rfam family "Bacterial small subunit ribosomal RNA", at positions 524 to 776 of the family's 1533-position model. The record is from RNAcentral.